Hyla sarda is the source of this 507-nucleotide long non-coding RNA. RefSeq lists it as uncharacterized. The record is from RefSeq and is a predicted model, not a curated record. The transcript has 3 exons. NCBI's taxonomy places the organism in Eukaryota, Metazoa, Chordata, Amphibia, Anura, Hylidae.
CUGUAGGGCCCCAACCACAAGAGACACAGACAUGCUUGCCUAUGUCUGGGCACAGAAGAUGACUGCCAGCUACAGCAAACAGGACCAACACAGGCCGCUCUGAGCCAUACCAUGGCCAAAGCCGUCAUUACCAAUGAAAACAACCGAUAACCAAAGUUAAGCUGCAUUCAUAAUUCUGCUAGUUGUUCCUAGAAUUUGACCACCACCAAAAGAGAAAACUCAAAUUCUCAGGGCCUUUUCACACAGCAAAAUUUCAGGGCUGAAUGACAUUCCGCAGGCACCGGCAGAACAAGCCUGCGCUAGAACCACUCAGAAAUGCGCCGCCUCCACAGACUGCAAUGCAUCUCUGGGCGGAUUUCGCUAAAGAAAAAACAUGGAAGUCUGGAAUUUCAGUUUCAGUGGCGGAUAUACCCAUGACAAAAAGAAAUUCUGCCAUAUGCAUAGUGCAGCAGAAUUCCAGUAAAAACGAUGGUUGUCUUCUGUAGCAGAAUUUCCAAGCAAAAUUUU